Molecule: long non-coding RNA, 1177 nt
Filed under: Chrysemys picta bellii (western painted turtle)
Lineage: Eukaryota; Metazoa; Chordata; Testudines; Emydidae
Description: lncRNA (ENSCPBG00000006967.1)
Source: RNAcentral
CCCUUGGCCCCGCGGCAGCCGCACCCACCGAGGCCCCGCCCUGCCCGCGGGGCUCCCCCCUGUUGCCGGGUAACCGGCCGGGCCGCUCUCCCAGGCUCCGGGCUCACAGCGUGGGGGGGCUUCUAGGCUGGUGCCGCGGGUGCCGCUUGGUGACUCUGUAGCGGGGCGGGGAUGCUGCUGCCCGGGGCCGCAUCCCGCUGCCGCCAGGGCUCCUCUUUCUCCUGCUGCAGCCGCCGGGCACCUCCCAGCCCCCUCCCGCCGCAGCCGCCCGGGAGCUGAGCCCCGAAGCUAGCGGCACCAUGAGCAGGAACCAGCCCCGCUGGGGGCACCGGGAAUCAUAUGUAAAAAACAUUAAAUACCCAGAGUCAUCAUUCCUCUCUGAAUGCAGAUCGCUUUCAUCUCAGGCAUCAAAAGAACAAAAAAUGCCAAGUCUAAUGUCUGACCACAAAUAUCUGAAUAAUAAAGCCUCAGGAAGAUCAUUGGGAUGUUUUCCCUUUGAAAGUAACUGGAGGAGCGCAUUGUUAAAGACAGAAAGGAUAAAAAAAGAAUACUCUUCAACCUUUGACUUGAGAGACUGCGAGGAGAGUGCUGCAGUACCAAACCUUACUCAAGGAGUCCAGAGCUAUCAAGAAAACCCAUCUCCUAUUCUGCAGAUGAAAAAAGGAUUUGCAUAUGGUGCUGCUAAACCAUUUCCAACUGGUUCUUAUAGUGAAGAUGAGCAUAAUUGUGUGCCAACUUCAUACAUACUUCCACAGACCUCAUCACAGUACUUAGGAUACGAGUUUUGCAAAAAUAGGGGAGACAUAACUGUGGUGGAUCUGCAGAAGAGAGGACUAGAUUCUUGGAACCCAAGUCCACUGAAGAUGCCAGCCAUUCAUGAUGGAGGUGGAGAGAUAGGAGCUUUGAGAUCCAAGAAGAAUAACCACAUUUCCAGCAUAUGUUCACUUCCAGCGGGACCCAGAUACAAGUUUGGUCAUCACCAUUUCACAGAUCCUUUUGCUGGAGCUCCACCUGAAUACGUACAGAGACUCUCUGAAAUAAAAUCAUUUCAGUGUGAAACUAUACGUCAAGAGAAAAACAAAAAAUUGAAAAGGGGCAAGAAAGAAGAAACAUGGACAAGCUGAUGGGCAAGAAACAAGCUCUUGUGUACACUAUUUUGUGAGCUUAGAUUGUUUUG